AGAGUUUGAUCCUGGCUCAGAACGAACGCUGGCGGCAUGCUUAACACAUGCAAGUUGAACGAAGGUCCGAGGCUUGCUUCGGGUACCUUAGUAGCGAACGGGUGAGUAACGCGUGGGAAUCUACCUAGAAAUGGGGAAUAACUACUGGAAACGGUAGCUAAUACCGCAUAAUCCCUUCGGGGCAAAGGCUUCGGCCGUUUUUAGAUGAGCCCGCGUUAGAUUAGAUUGUUGGUGGGGUAAUGGCCUACCAAAUCUUCUAUCUAUAGCUGGUCUGAGAGGAUGAUCAGCCACACUGGGACUGAGACACGGCCCAGACUCCUACGGGAGGCAGCAGUGGGGAAUAUUGGACAAUGGGGGAAACCCUGAUCCAGCAAUGCCGCGUGAGUGAAGAAGGCCUUAGGGUUGUAAAACUCUUUCAGAAGUGAAGAUGAUGACUGUAACUUCAGAAGAAGCUCCGGCUAACUCCGUGCCAGCAGCCGCGGUAAUACGGAGGGAGCUAGCGUUGUUCGGAAUUACUGGGCGUAAAGGGCGUGUAGGCUGUAUGGUAAGUCAGAGGUGAAAUCCCUAAGCUUAACUUAGGAACUGCCUUUGAUACUAUCAUGCUAGAGAUCGAGAGAGGUUAGUGGAAUUCCAAGUGUAGAGGUGAAAUUCGUAGAUAUUUGGAAGAACACCAGUGGCGAAAGCGACUAACUGGCUCGUUUCUGACGCUGAGACGCGAAAGCGUGGGUAGCAAACAGGAUUAGAUACCCUGGUAGUCCACGCCGUAAACGAUGAGUGCUAGCCG
This 784-nucleotide ribosomal RNA is filed under the name marine metagenome. Its description in RNAcentral is "bacterial SSU rRNA". It matches the Rfam family "Bacterial small subunit ribosomal RNA", at positions 8 to 822 of the family's 1533-position model. The record is from RNAcentral.